RNAcentral lists this long non-coding RNA (811 nucleotides) under Capra hircus (goat). RNAcentral describes it as "lncRNA (ENSCHIG00000007859.1)". Lineage: Eukaryota; Metazoa; Chordata; Mammalia; Artiodactyla; Bovidae. The record is from RNAcentral.
CAGGUCACACUCGGGGCAGCACGACCAAAAUUUUGCAGCCGCCUGCCUUUCUCUCUGCAGUGGGCUGGCCCAGCCAGAGCUGAAGAGCAGGAACCCAGAUGAGCUCCAGCCCAGAGAUAACUCAGGGGGGCUAGUUAAUCCUUUUUUCCUUCCAGAAUACAGGGAUCUGGGGUCUGCCCCCACCUUCCAGGUGACAGUCCAUCAAUCUACAGAAGCCUUCCGUUGAGGAGGGGCUCAUAGACGGGCUGGCAGUGGGAGCCCAGCAGCAUAACAACUGGAACCAUGCUUCUCACUGCAAAAAACGACGCUCUCUGCCCUGGCCCAAGAUGGGGGCCGGGGGCGGGGACUGAGCCUGGCACGUUUCACCUUCCUUUCCCCAGGUGGAGGAUUCAGAAAUCUGGGCAGCUUUGGGCUGGAAAAUGCCGUGGCACUCCCCUCCCCGCUGGAGCUCCCUGUGUGGGCACCAGAGAGAAGCAGAAAGCGCUCUUGCUGUGGGGCCCCCGCCUGGAUGUCAGCCCAGGGCGUUGUGAGUCGCAGGACGUUUCCUGAGACCUCACCUGGUUUCCUCUCUCUCAGGGCACUUGUGAGAAAUAAAUGAGAUGAAGAAAGCAAUUCCCAGGCCCCAGAACUAACAUGGAUGGGUGGGCGAGAAGACAGCUUCCAGACUGGCAGCCUGAGCCCCUCUACCCCCACAUACAGCACCCUCCCAGGAACUCUCUGCUCGGCCUCUCGCCUUCCCCUCCCUGCACAGCACUCUCCAGUGUUCCUCGCCAUCGCCGCUCACAAACCAUCAUCUCUUUCAACUCUCAAG